RNAcentral lists this long non-coding RNA (920 nucleotides) under Brassica rapa (field mustard). RNAcentral describes it as "long non-coding RNA (BRAP_LNC003212)". The record is from RNAcentral. Lineage: Eukaryota; Viridiplantae; Streptophyta; Magnoliopsida; Brassicales; Brassicaceae.
AUAAAUGUGACUUUGGAAUGAUAACAUUUUUUGAAUUACACUCUUAACUCAAAUUUUAAUGAAAAUUAACUCAUGUUGCCAAUCAAAAGCAUGUAUAUAGUAACACUAACAUCAAAUUUUGACUGAAUAUAUAUUUAUGUUUAUUUUAUUUUUGGUGGGUGGGGGAGAUUAAAUGUAUAUAUUCUACUUGCAUGACUCCACACAAAAUAGAGAUAAUCAUGCAUGUACAAAAUACAUGUACUGUAUAUAUAUAAAAGUCAAAAGAUUUUUUUCCAAAAACAACUAUCAGCUAAUAUGAAAGAUUCGUAUAUGAUAAAAAAAAAAAAAAAAAAAUUGGAUAGUAAUUUGAAACUUCUUAAAAGAAAAGAAUGAAAAAUCAUAUAAAUAGAUCCCUUCAUCAAUAACUAGAUAACACAUAACAUAUUUUCUUCUCAGCAAAAAUAAAACUACGAAAAUUACAAUGGAUAUCACAAAAAUCUCAAUCACCCUUUUCUUGGUGAUGACAUUGGCAAUUUCAUCCAACUGUGAAGUUCUGGCCGCAUCAAGUAUAAUCAUUCUUCCCAAAAGAUUUCAUUAUUUUUAUUAUUAUUAUUUUUUAUCUUUGAACAUUUUGAAAGAAGAACUUAUUAUAUAUGUGAUAGAAUUUGCGAUAACCAUGUAUAUGGAUGUGUAAGAACUUUGAUUUGCCAAAAGAAGUACAACUAUUAUUUGGAUAUGGUAUAUAUGAUUAUAAUCUUAACCUUGGUUGUGUAAAGGUGAAGUAAAUAAGACAACAAACUAUGGAGAAUGCAUUUAUGAGGAGCUUUGUGAGAUGGGAAAGUCCGGAACUCAUGAAUGCUUCGUUAAGUGUUCUAAGAAGAAUAAGAAGUACACAGGAGGAAAAUGUAUUCCAAAAAAUCCAGAAUAUGGAUAUUGUUGUU